GCCCGGAUGGUCUAGUGGUAUGAUUCUCGCUUGUAAGCUGCGAGAGGCCCCGCGUUCGAACCGCGGUUCGGGCC
This 74-nucleotide transfer RNA is filed under the name Aspergillus tamarii. Its description in RNAcentral is "tRNA-Tyr". Lineage: Eukaryota; Fungi; Ascomycota; Eurotiomycetes; Eurotiales; Aspergillaceae. The record is from RNAcentral.